RNAcentral lists this long non-coding RNA (719 nucleotides) under Homo sapiens (human). RNAcentral describes it as "HSALNT0139107". Lineage: Eukaryota; Metazoa; Chordata; Mammalia; Primates; Hominidae. The record is from RNAcentral.
AGAUGAUGGUGUAGGGCUGAGACCUGAGAAACAAUAUUUAUUAAUUUGGUAGAGAAAGAUGAGUCUCAAGGGAAGAUGAAAAAGAAGAAACCAGAAAAAUAGAAGAAAAAUCAGCUUUACAGAAUUCUUUCUCAAGAGGAUUUAGACUCCUUUUCUAUUGAUAGGGCAUAAGAAUUGACUCAGACCUAGAAACUGGCUGGGACCAUCUCAUAAUGUUUGUGUACAUUCCUGUUGUCUUCUACCUCCCAUCCACCGUGUCUCUCUACUGCCUAUAACCAGCCUACAUAAGAUAAAUGUGAUUGGAGAGGAAACUAUCCCCAAUUCUCUCUUCAUUGACAUUUGGGGCUGUACCAGUUUACAUUUUCACCAACAUUCCCACCAUUGUGGUGGCCAGCAACUGAGGAGGCUGAGAUAAGUGGAUUCCCUGAGCCCAGGAGGUGGAGGUUGCAGUUAGCCAAGAUUGCGUCACUGCACUCCAGCCUAGGCAACAGAGUGAGACCUGUCUCAAAAAAAAAAAAAAAAAAGAGUUAAAUUAAAAAAUAAAUAAAAGUCAUUUGACCAUAUAUGUGAUUGUUUAUUUCUUGCUCUCCAUCUAUUCUAUUUACCUAUAUAUCUAUCUUUAUUCCAGUACAAUGCUGUUUUUAUUAUUGUAACUUUGAAAAAAAAUUUUAAAAUCUAGAAGUGUGAUCUUUAACUUUUGUUCUUUUUCAAAAUUGUUU